This 1627-nucleotide small RNA is filed under the name Obelidium mucronatum. RNAcentral's name for it is "eukaryotic LSU rRNA". The stretch from base 1 to 998 matches the Rfam family "Eukaryotic small subunit ribosomal RNA". The record is from RNAcentral. Lineage: Eukaryota; Fungi; Chytridiomycota; Chytridiomycetes; Chytridiales; Chytriomycetaceae.
GUGUGAAACUGCGAAUGGCUCAUUAAAUCAGUUAUAGUUUAUUUGAUAUAACCUUACUACUUGGAUAUCCGUGGUAAUUCUAGAGCUAAUACAUGCAAUAAAAUCCUGACUUCUGGAAGGGAUGUAUUUAUUAGAUAAAAAACCAAUUGGUGAUUCAUAGUAACUUUUCGAAUCGCAUGACUUUACGUCGGCGAUGGUUCAUUCAAAUUUCUGCCCUAUCAAGUUUCGAUGGUAGGAUAGAGGCCUACCAUGCUUUUAACGGGUAACGGCGAAUUAGGGUUCGAUUCCGGAGAGGGAGCCUGAGAAACGGCUACCACAUCUAAGGAAGGCAGCAGGCGCGCAAAUUACCCAAUCCUGAUUCAGGGAGGUAGUGACAAUAAAUAACAAUCCAGGGCUUUUGUCUUGGAAUUGGAAUGAGAACAAUUUAAAUCUCUUAACGAGGAACAAUUGGAGGGCAAGUCUGGUGCCAGCAGCCGCGGUAAUUCCAGCUCCAAUAGCGUAUAUUAAAGUUGUUGCAGUUAAAUAGCUCGUAGUUGAAUCUUCUGUUACUUUGAAAAAAUUAGAGUGUUUAAAGCGGGCGUAAGCUUGUAUACAUUAGCAUGGAAUAAUAGAAUAGGACUUUGGUUUUAUUUUGUUGGUUUCUAGGGCCGAAGUAAUGAUUAAUAGGGAUAGUUGGGGGCAUUAGUAUUUAAUAGUCAGAGGUGAAAUUCUUGGAUUUAUGAAAGACUAACUUCUGCGAAAGCAUUUGCCAAGGAUGUUUUCAUUAAUCAAGAACGAAAGUCAGGGGAUCGAAGAUGAUCAGAUACCGUCGUAGUCCUGACCGUAAACUAUGCCGACUAGGGAUCGGAUGUGGCGAGUGAAGCGGGAAAAGCUCAAAUUUAAAAUCUCCUAGGUUCCCUAGGCGAAUUGUAGUUUCAAGAAGUGUUUUCUGAGAUAGGCUCGGUCCAAGUCUGCUGGAAGGCAGCGCCAUAGAGGGUGAUAGCCCCGUAGGAUCCUGCUUCUAUUUCUUUAUGAUUCAUCUUCGAAGAGUCGUACAGUUUGAGAAUGCUGUGCUAAAGGGAGGUAAAUAUCUUCUAAAGCUAAAUAUUGGCGAGAGACCGAUAGCGAACAAGUACCGUGAGGGAAAGAUGAAAAGAACUUUGAAAAGAGAGUUAAAUAGUACGUGAAAUUGUCUAAAGUGAAACGUUUGAAACUAGUAUCGGAAGGUGAUGGACAACCGCAAGGUGCAUUCUGUGCCAGCGACAGUUUUGUUUGGAGUAUAGCCUUUGUAUGUGCUCUGGGCGAGACUGAUGAUCGCCACGUGUAGGUCGCUGGUGAAAUAGUUUUAAGCGACCCGUCUUGAAACACGGACCAAGGAGUUCUACAAAUGCGCGAGUCUUUGGGUGUCAAACCCGAGGGCGGAAUGAAAGAAAACGUAGGUGUGAUCCGCAAGGUGCAACAUCGACCGGACUGGAUUUCUUUGAAAGUUCUGAGUAAGAGCGCAUUUGCAGAGACCCGAAAGAUGGUGAACUAUACCUGAGUAGGGUGAAGUCAGAGGAAACUCUGAUGGAAGCUCGUAGCGGUUCUGACGUGCAAAUCGAUCGUCGAACUUGGGUAUAGGGGCGAAAGACUAAUCGAACCAUCGUAG